Molecule: long non-coding RNA, 479 nt
Filed under: Glycine max (soybean)
Lineage: Eukaryota; Viridiplantae; Streptophyta; Magnoliopsida; Fabales; Fabaceae
Description: long non-coding RNA (GMAX_LNC001150)
Source: RNAcentral
GUAUGUAUCAGGGUUGGCACUUUAAUUGGUUUGUAACAGGUUUUGAGUUCCGUUUGAGAGUCUUUAUUCAACCACAGCCAUUAACAAAAGUUUUAGUGGGUUUUCAAAACCAUGACAGCUCCGCAGAUUGAACAGUUUUGUCAACGCUCUUGGAUUCCCACUAUACAUGAGACUUGCAAUAGUCAAAAGAAGUGAUUAUGACACACCACGAUGCCCAGAAAGCUGGCCAGCAAGGAGAGAAUGGCAUCUGAUUCUGAUAUAGAUGCAUGCUCGAUCUACUAUAUAUUCCUUAUAGUCAAAAGUUUGCCAAAUGGAGUUUUACCUCAAAUACUUAAUUUGAUCAUUAAGAAUCAACAUCAAUUUGAUAUUAUAAGUAGUUUUUAAAAAAUAGACAAAAUAAAAAUGGCAUGUCAUAGGCCUUUGCCAUGAUUUCAUUACCAAUGACAAAAAUUAGGGUUAAAGACCUAAUUGUAUCAAUU